Molecule: long non-coding RNA, 1531 nt
Filed under: Malus domestica (apple)
Lineage: Eukaryota; Viridiplantae; Streptophyta; Magnoliopsida; Rosales; Rosaceae
Description: long non-coding RNA (MDOM_LNC004303)
Source: RNAcentral
CAACUAGACUAUCAUCCAAUUUUGCACUUUGAGUCCUAAAGGUUGAAACUCAUCUUCAUCUUUUCCUUAAAACUCAUCUUCAUCUCUCUCUCAAAAGUCAAAACUCAUCUUCAUCUCUUCCACAAUCGAUAUCAAUGCCCUGAAUUCACUACGUGCGACCUGGAUGCUUGCAUCUCUGCGACCUCACUGCUUGCAUCCCCAGAUCCCCUUCAUCUGCAAGCCCUGAACUCUGCAAAUCAAAAGCUCUGCAAAACAGACUUGGCAAAUCAUUCACCAGCUCUUCGUUUCAUCUAAUAUGGUAAGAACUUAGAACUUGUAUUAGUUAGUUUAGUUAAUAAUUUGUAAUUAAAUUAAUUUUACAGUUAGUGUUCGUUUGAAUCAAAUAUUCAAAAGGGGAACUGGGUUAGAGUUCGUUUGAAUCAAAGAUUCAUUUUAAAGUCUUGGAUGUGAAAUCGAAGUUGAAUCCAUUGAAUCUUUAAUAUGGGACAAGAUGAAACUAUGUUUAUUUCUGUUGUAAGCACUGAGCAUCGGUCAUAUUGAGGGGGCUGGAAUAACAUUAGCACUUUCUUCGAGUGUUCUGCAUACCACAUUAUAUAUUGAUAGCAAAAUCAAGAAUUUUCAUGAAUGCAGUUUGUUUAUACCAUAUUUAGGGCCUCGUAUUUAGAUCUCGUACAAAUACUCGGGGGACUUAAAUGUAAUUAUGUGAUAAAGGAAUGGGCAAAUAUGUAAUAAGCAAGGAGUCCUUAUUCUAUAAAAGGACCCCUCACCCUCACAAUUAGGGGAGACCAAUUCCUAAGGCUCCUCACCCCCUCUCAAAGCUCUCACUCUCAGAGCUCUCUCUCCCUCGGAUAAAUACAUAACCAGUGUGGACGUAGCCCAAACCUUGGGGUGAACCACAAUACAUCUUGUGUUAUUUACAUUUCUUGCAGAUUCACGGUCAGAUUUACGUUGUUCCAAGAUCUCCGGUUUUGCGCAUCAACACAGUUUUUCUUGCUCAUAGGACAAUGAAAACUUUGAAGUUAAGCAGCUUAUUCCACUCAAGAACUUUUUCCUCUCUUUCUUUCCUAUUUUGCAAAUCGUCUGUUACUGAUUUUUUGUUUUCAUUGUUCUUUUGUUCUUUCUUGUUUUGGAGCACUGUUGCGUAUGAGUUCUUUUGUUCUGUUUUCAUUGAUUUAUAGUUUGGUUGUUCUCUAGUCAGUAGUCAGGUGUAGUUCUAGGUUGCAGUAGAAAAUUGGUGGAUUAAAGUCAUUUUAUGCAAGAGGCUUGAAAGUCAUCUUUAUAGUUUUGCUGCAUUGUUGUUGCUGUUUUUGCUGCAGUUUUGCUGCAUGUUCAUUAAUUAAUAUAUCAGGAAAAUAUAACUGUCUUAUGCAUAAAUAGGUGUAUAUUUUAAAUUGUAUAUUUUUUUUCUCAAAAACCAAACCGAAACUGUUUGAAACCGCACCAAACCGAACCGAACCGCACCGUAAAAAGUUUCGAUUUCAAUUGCGGUUUCACUUGAAACCGCAUCAUACCCACCCCUAGUUACUUCAAC